Molecule: ribosomal RNA, 274 nt
Filed under: uncultured bacterium
Lineage: Bacteria
Description: partial 16S ribosomal RNA
Rfam family: Bacterial small subunit ribosomal RNA
Source: RNAcentral
AUACGGAGGGGGCUAGCGUUGUUCGGAAUUACUGGGCGUAAAGGGCGCGUAGGCGGAUUAUCAAGUCAGAGGUGAAAGGCCUGGGCUCAACCUGGGAACUGCCUUUGAAACUGAUAGUCUUGAGUCCGGAAGAGGAUGGCGGAAUUCCCAGUGUAGAGGUGAAAUUCGUAGAUAUUAGGAAGAACACCGGUGGCGAAGGCGGCCCACUGGUCCGGUACUGACGCUGAGGUGCGAAAGCGUGGGGAGCAAACAGGAUUAGAAACCCGGGUAGUCC